Molecule: non-coding RNA, 464 nt
Organism: Nicotiana tabacum (common tobacco)
Lineage: Eukaryota; Viridiplantae; Streptophyta; Magnoliopsida; Solanales; Solanaceae
Source: RefSeq, a predicted model, not a curated record
UUUUUCCAACAAUUAUGGUGAUGUAUGGGAGAGGUAAGCAAUGAUGCAACUCUCCUUAGUGAGAUAAGCAAUGAUGCAAUGAGUGGUAGGUGAGAUUUGCACUUUUGGUCCCUAUCUCAAAACUAUAAAUACCCCCUUCCAUUUCAUUGUAUAACACACCAAAAAAAAAUAUAUCAAAACUUAAGAAGAAAGAGUUUGAGAGGGAGAGAGAUGUAUUUCCUUUAGGAAUGUUUCCUAACAGGGGAGUGACAAAAUAGUGAGUAGAAAUACUAGUCGGGUAUUUUUCGGGAAACACUUUUGUGUGCGCCACUAUUUUGGGUAGAGCUCAGGAAUUGUUGUACCUCCAAAUUAUUGGGGAAGUCUCUCUUUGUAUGCCUGCUAAAUGUUUUAGUGGAAGUUGGUGUCGGAUUUGUGGACGUAGCCUAAACGUUUUAGGUGAACCACGUUAAAUAUUGUGUCAUUUA